RNAcentral lists this ribosomal RNA (253 nucleotides) under uncultured bacterium. RNAcentral describes it as "partial 16S ribosomal RNA". It matches the Rfam family "Bacterial small subunit ribosomal RNA", at positions 524 to 776 of the family's 1533-position model. The record is from RNAcentral.
UACGUAGGGUGCAAGCGUUGUCCGGAAUUAUUGGGCGUAAAGAGCUCGUAGGCGGUCUGUCACGUCGGCUGUGAAAACUCGGGGCUUAACCCCGAGCCUGCAGUCGAUACGGGCAGACUAGAGUCCGGCAGGGGAGACUGGAAUUCCUGGUGUAGCGGUGAAAUGCGCAGAUAUCAGGAGGAACACCGGUGGCGAAGGCGGGUCUCUGGGCCGGAACUGACGCUGAGGAGCGAAAGCGUGGGGAGCGAACAGG